CCGUGGAGACACUCCGCAAGAUCCUAUUCGCCCCGUACCCUUCACCACCUCCACUCUCCUUGUCCCCCCUCUCCUGUGCGUCUGUCCUUUGACAUGAACUGCCCCUCGUCACGCUCCACCUGUCCUCCUCGGCCAAUGGCAGCGGAAAAAGAUGCCCUCCCUCCAUGUCGCUUACGGGGAAACGUGUCCUUCGCCAUCAUCACUAUUUAAUGCUCCGUCGUUCUAUGUCCGUCAUGGCCAGCUCUUGCUUAAAGCAGAUACUACACCAGUCAUAAUAAUAGCCAACAAAAGGAGGAGAUGGUGCGGCAAGGCGGUUGCUGUCUAACGAUGUACGGCGGAGUUGGCGACGUCGAUGCUGCCUGGAAGGUGAGGCGGAUCAUGCUCAGGUUCCGCCCCAUCGCCCCCAAGCCCGCCUCCGCUGAAACAGGUUCCCCGGCGGUCUCUGUAGUCUCUACAGAGGCGCGCGCCGUAGCGAGGAGGCCGAAGAGGAAGAGAUCCGCCAAGUCCCAGGGCAGGAAGCCUAGGAGGGGGCAGGCGACUGCGGUAAAGGAGGAUGAGAAGUCAUCGUCGACGAUCGUGACGCUCCCGUUGAUUCCAGAGAUGCCGGAGGGGAAGGACGUGGCGACGGAGUCGUCGAUGCAGCAUUCUAGUCCUGUUACUCCUGCUGCAGCCGUGGUGCCGACUUGGAUGGGGCGAGGGGAGGGGGGAGGAUCGGAGUCGUGGCCGGUGAGGGUCGUAAGUUUGUGGGUGACGGUGGAGUGCGUGACGGACAUGUGGAGGGAGGGGGAGAUCGCACGUAGGAGCGACGAGGGGGUGAGGGCGGCGUUGGCUGCGGACGAGUGCCCCGGUUUUGUGUCCGAUGUGUGGGAACGGGUGACGUGGACCAACGAGGCCUGCCGGAGGAGGGUGGUGGGUUCCUCGUCGGGAGACCGCGGAGUAAGGGAGGAGGACGAGGCGGUGAGGGUGGAGCUGGUGACGCGGGGAUUGGUGCCUCCGGCUUGGGAAUGCCGAGCGUUCACUUGCAGGGUGCGUGUCAGGCAGGCGAAGCCUCCAGGGAGGCAGACGACUCCGUCCUCGCCACUGGCUGCGCCGUGCGACGUGUGGAGGCUGGACAGCGGCGGUUGCGCGUGGAGGCUCGACGUCAAAGCGGCGCUAAGUCUCGGCUUUUAAGCGACGGACCAGCGGGAAAGAAGGAAGAAGAAGAAGAAGAGCACUGUUGUUUUCUGCCAUCAAAACUGCAGCAGACAACCAAAAGUAACAUAACCAUGGUAUUGGCCAUAAAAGUGUUUCUGAUUUCUGUAGUACUGGCCAGAAUUGCUUUCUGCUUUCCACAGGAGAACACCAAAAAAUGUAACGAAACACACGAGAAAUGCCCAAACGAUCGGCCGGCGUUCGCCCCACGCAGCCCUCUCCUCUCUCGCCGUCCCUUCGCUGCUUGCAAAUCCUGGAUGCCAGAGAAGCUUACAUUGGGUUUUCAAGGUCUUCAUUGCAAUGUCAAUACACCAUCAUAAAUAAAGCCAAUUCAAGAGGGUCCAAUCACUGGAAGGAGAUCCUAUCUACUACUCGGAACCUAAUGUUUGAUCUUUUCUUUUGAAAUCUCCAUCAAUAUAAUCGCACGGUCCUUUCACCGAUCAGGUUGCUCAUGUAUUGGAUAGUUUUGGCAGAAUGCAAACUAAAGAUGUUUUCUUUCAUAACAAGAAAAACAAAAGACUACUUCAAUGAUCACAGCAUGCUCAUAUUGAUAUUAUUAGGUGAGUGACACUUGAACUGUGGUUGGAAAAGAAAAAUGUAAAGAUUGAGUAAUUUAUGCAUGCACGACAAAUUGUGCUUGUUGGUGGGAUGAUGUUGAAGGUUGGACAUGCAGUGAUAGAGUAAAGAAAUGUAUAUGGAAACUUGGAAGCACAGCUAUCACCCUUCAUGACAUCUCACAUUGCAUCCACAUGUGGUAAAA
Molecule: non-coding RNA, 1951 nt
Organism: Musa acuminata subsp. malaccensis (wild Malaysian banana)
Lineage: Eukaryota; Viridiplantae; Streptophyta; Magnoliopsida; Zingiberales; Musaceae
Source: RefSeq, a predicted model, not a curated record